Molecule: ribosomal RNA, 468 nt
Filed under: uncultured bacterium
Lineage: Bacteria
Description: partial 16S ribosomal RNA
Rfam family: Bacterial small subunit ribosomal RNA
Source: RNAcentral
GACGAACGCUGGCGGCGUGCUUAACACAUGCAAGUCGAACGGAAAGGCCCUGCUUUUGUGGGGUGCUCGAGUGGCGAAAGGGUGAGUAACACGUGAGUAACCUGCCCUUGACUUUGGGAUAACUUCAGGAAACUGGGGCUACUACCGGAUAGGAGCUCCUGCUGCAUGGUGGGGGUUGGAAAGUUUCGGCGGUUGGGGAUGGACUCGCGGCUUAUCAGCUUGUUGGUGGGGUAGUGGCUUACCAAGGCAUUGACGGGUAACCGGCCUGAGAGGGUGACCGGCCACAUUGGGACUGAGAUACGGCCCAGACUCCUACGGGAGGCAGCAGUGGGGAAUAUUGCACAAUGGGCGGAAGCCUGAUGCAGCAACGCCGCGUGCGGGAUGAAGGCCAUCGGGUUGUAAACCGCUUUCGCCUGUGACGAAGCGGGAGUGACGGUAAUGGGUAAAGAAGCACCGGCUAACUACGUG